AAAUAAUUUAUUUUCAAGCAUCCCGAUAUGAUUAAUCUUAUUUUAGAGAUGAGAUGAAGGAGGCCAAUAGAAGUUAAGAGAUCUUCCCAAGGUUAUAAACAGACAAACCUGGAAUAGAAGCCAGCCUGGAACUCGAAGCUGCUUCUAACAAAAGGGGUUCACAGCUAAGAGUUUGCUUUUAGUCUCAGAGAAGAUUUUGGACUUAGACUUUUCAGCCAUGUGAAACUGUCACAACUUUGGUGAUGCGAGAUGGACUAAAUGCAUUUUGCAUAAAGAAAUACACACGAGUCUUUUGGGGCUCAGGGAUGGAAUGUUAUGGUUUAGAUCUAAAAUGGCUCCAAAAGUUUCAUGUGUUUGGAAGGUGAUCAGAUUAUGAAGGUACUAUACCUGAUUUGCUCUUAGGAGUUGGGAUCCGGUUGGAAGAGGCCCAUCACUGAGGGUGACCUGGAAGAGCAUAUCUCUACUCCUGGUUCCUCCCUUUUCUCUUUGGUUCCUGGCAGCUGUGACAUGAGCAGCUUUCCUCCACCCAGGCCCUUCUACUGUGCUGUCUUCUGCAUCUGGACCUGCCAACCAUGGACUGAAGCCUCUAAAAGCUGUGAGCCAAAAUAAACCUCUCCUUUAAGUUGUGAGGGUCAAGUAUUGUGUCUCAGCGAUGAGAAAGUACGAUAGGGUGGCCACAUUCAUGUCCUGGAACAUAUAUAUUCAUUAAAAGCAUUGAUUCUCAACCCUGGGUUAUCAUUAGAAUCAUCAGAAGAGAUUCUAAAAAUUUUAAGCCAGAGACUGUCCAUUUCCAAGAUUCUAAUUUAAUCAGUCUGAAUUAGUUUGCAAUUUAUGGGACUCUAGAUAUUCAGGAAAGAUAGAAAACUUGAGUUCUUAUUGCUGCACAAUGUCAACCUGCGUCUUCCUAUGAAACAUACUGCUAGUAAUCUUUUAUAUUAGCAAAAGAUAUUCCAAUUUUCAGUUGGACACAUGGCUACCUGAAAUAAAAACUGUGUCUUUCAAU
Long non-coding RNA from Heterocephalus glaber (naked mole-rat), 1003 nucleotides. The record is from Ensembl. NCBI's taxonomy places the organism in Eukaryota, Metazoa, Chordata, Mammalia, Rodentia, Bathyergidae.